UACGUAGGGUGCAGGCGUUAAUCGGAAUUACUGGGCGUAAAGCGUGCGCAGGCGGUUUGCUAAGACAGGUGUGAAAUCCCCGGGCUUAACCUGGGAACUGCGCUUGUAACUGGCAAGCUGGAGUGUGGCAGAGGGGGGUGGAAUUCCACGUGUAGCAGUGAAAUGCGUAGAGAUGUGGAGGAAUACCGAUGGCGAAGGCAGCCCCCUGGGAUGACACUGACGCUCAUGCACGAAAGCGUGGGGAGCAAACAGG
This 253-nucleotide ribosomal RNA is filed under the name uncultured bacterium. RNAcentral describes it as "partial 16S ribosomal RNA". It matches the Rfam family "Bacterial small subunit ribosomal RNA", at positions 524 to 776 of the family's 1533-position model. The record is from RNAcentral.